CAGCGCCGCAAGUGGUAAUCACGUUUAUUGGGCCUAAAGCGUCCGUAGCCGGUUUGAUAAAUCUUUUGUGAAAUUGUUAGGCUCAACUUAACAACGUGCAGAAGACACUAUCAGGCUAGGAACCGGGAAGAGUCAGAAGUAUUAUUGGGGUAGCGGUAAAAUGCUAUAAUCCUUUUAAGACUACCGAUGGCGAAGGCAUCUGACUAGAACGGCUUCGACGGUGAGGGACGAAAGCCAGGGGAGCAAACCGGAUUAGAUACCCGAGUAGUCC
Molecule: ribosomal RNA, 271 nt
Filed under: uncultured archaeon
Lineage: Archaea
Description: partial 16S ribosomal RNA
Rfam family: Archaeal small subunit ribosomal RNA
Source: RNAcentral